RNAcentral lists this ribosomal RNA (482 nucleotides) under Camaenidae sp. SQ9. Its description in RNAcentral is "partial 12S ribosomal RNA". Lineage: Eukaryota; Metazoa; Mollusca; Gastropoda; Stylommatophora; Camaenidae. The record is from RNAcentral.
GUCACACUUUAGUUUAGAGAAGGAAGUAGCAAAUAAACACACCCAGCAGCAUUACCCGUGGUGAAAUACAAAAAUAAAUACCUCUGCCCGUGUGUAACACUGACGAAACACUGCUGCUAAACAGGGAUUAGAGACCCCUUUAUACAAGUGCUCAUUUUACUUUGCGGAGUACUAAAACUUACAUAGUCCAAACUUAAGCAACAUGGCGGUAACUUUAAUUUAGGGGAACUUACCCAGUAAAUGAUAACCACCAAGGUCAACCAACUGAGAGUAAAUCUUGUAUGCCGUCGUCGUCAGGUGGCAUUUGAUACCCCACCGUGAUUGCUACCAUAAAAGACAGAUCAAGGUGCAGACAAUCUCUCAGAUGAGGCGAGUUACAAUUUUAAUUACUAGCGGAUAGACUACGUAGGUAACAUCUGAAGGCGGACUUAACAGUAAUAAAAAAUACGAUUAACUUAUGAACCCUCUAAAGUGGUGCACAA